CACCGCGGUUAUACGAGAGGCUCAAGUUGAUGAACCCCGGCGUAAAGAGUGGUUAAGAGAGAUCAAAACUAAAGCCGAAUGCUUUCAAAGCUGUUAUACGCUUCCGAAAGUAAGAAGCCCAAUCACGAAAGUGGCUUUACUUUACCUGACCCCACGAAAGCUACGACACAAACUGGGAUUAGAUACCCCACUAUGCCUAGCCUUAAACAUUGGCAACACUUUACACCUGCUGCCCGCCAGGAAACUACGAGCAUUAGCUUAAAACCCAAAGGACUUGGCGGUGCUUUAGACCCACCUAGAGGAGCCUGUUCUAGAACCGAUAACCCCCGUUCAACCUCACCCUUCCUUGUUUUUUCCGCCUAUAUACCACCGUCGUCAGCUUACCCUGUGAAGGCCUUAUAGUAAGCAAAAUUGGCACAGCCCAGAACGUCAGGUCGAGGUGUAGCGAAUGGAAGGGGAAGAAAUGGGCUACAUUCUUUAAUAAAAAGAAUACGAAUGACUGACUGAAACGUCUUUCCGAAGGAGGAUUUAGCAGUAAGCAGGAAAUAGAGUGUUCUGCUGAAAUUGGCCCUGAAGCGCGCACACACCGCCCGUCACUCUCCCCGAGCUCACGAACUUUUAAUAAAUAAAAUCCCGCCACUGCAAAGGGGAGGCAAGUCGUAACAUGGUAAGUGUACCGGAAGGUGUACUUGGAAAAAUCAGGGUGUAGCUAAG
RNAcentral lists this ribosomal RNA (714 nucleotides) under Lepomis macrochirus (bluegill). Its description in RNAcentral is "partial small subunit ribosomal RNA". It matches the Rfam family "Bacterial small subunit ribosomal RNA", at positions 513 to 1533 of the family's 1533-position model. The record is from RNAcentral. Lineage: Eukaryota; Metazoa; Chordata; Actinopteri; Centrarchiformes; Centrarchidae.